UACUCCACAAGUUAUGUUCUUGUAAGUUGAUAUAUGUUCACCUAUUUCGACAAAUAGUUGCCUGUUUCUUAAAUAGCUUCUCACCCAAUCCAAUCCAACCCCUCUGAUGCCAUACCUAUCCAGUUUCAUGAGUAAAAUUAUUUUUUUCAACAGUCCA
Amblyraja radiata (thorny skate) is the source of this 157-nucleotide long non-coding RNA. RefSeq lists it as uncharacterized. The transcript has 3 exons. Lineage: Eukaryota; Metazoa; Chordata; Chondrichthyes; Rajiformes; Rajidae. The record is from RefSeq and is a predicted model, not a curated record.